Molecule: ribosomal RNA, 323 nt
Filed under: uncultured eukaryote
Lineage: Eukaryota
Description: partial 18S ribosomal RNA
Rfam family: Eukaryotic small subunit ribosomal RNA
Source: RNAcentral
CCCUUAGAUGUUCUGGGCCGCACGCGCGCUACACUGAUGCAUGCAACGAGUUCUAUCCUUGGCCGGAAGGCCUGGGUAAUCUGUGAACGUGCAUCGUGAUAGGGAUAGAUUAUUGCAAUUAUUAAUCUUGAACGAGGAAUUCCUAGUAAACGCAAGUCAUCAGCUUGCAUUGAUUACGUCCCUGCCCUUUGUACACACCGCCCGUCGCACCUACCGAUCGAAGGUAAUGAUGAGCCCUCAGGAUUGUGGCCUCGUCGCGUCAGCGUCUUGGCUGCGAGAAUCUGUGCAAAUCCCUACCUUUAGAGGAAGGUGAAGUCGUNACA